GAUGAAGAACGCAGCGAAAUGCGAUACGUAAUGUGAAUUGCAGAAUUCAGUGAAUCAUCGAAUCUUUGAACGCACAUUGCGCCCGCCAGUAUUCUGGCGGGCAUGCCUGUCCGAGCGUCAUUUCAACCCUCGAACCCCUCCGGGGGGUCGGCGUUGGGGACCUCGGGAGCCCCUAAGACGGGAUCCCGGCCCCGAAAUACAGUGGCGGUCUCGCCGCAGCCUCUCCUGCGCAGUAGUUUGCACAACUCGCACCGGGAGCGCGGCGCGUCCACGUCCGUAAAACACCCAACUUCUGAAAUGUUGACCUCGGAUCAGGUAGGAAUACCCGCUGAACUUAAGCAUAUCAAUAAGCGGAGGA
Molecule: unclassified non-coding RNA, 358 nt
Filed under: soil metagenome
Description: partial contains 5.8S ribosomal RNA, internal transcribed spacer 2, and large subunit ribosomal RNA
Rfam family: 5.8S ribosomal RNA (bases 1-120)
Source: RNAcentral